This 1383-nucleotide ribosomal RNA is filed under the name Brenneria salicis. Its description in RNAcentral is "bacterial SSU rRNA". It matches the Rfam family "Bacterial small subunit ribosomal RNA", at positions 61 to 1434 of the family's 1533-position model. The record is from RNAcentral. Lineage: Bacteria; Pseudomonadati; Pseudomonadota; Gammaproteobacteria; Enterobacterales; Pectobacteriaceae.
GUCGAGCGGUAACACAGAGGAGCUUGCUCCUUGGGUGACGAGCGGCGGACGGGUGAGUAAAGUCUGGGGAUCUGCCUGAUGGAGGGGGAUAACUACUGGAAACGGUAGCUAAUACCGCAUGACGUCUUCGGACCAAAGUGGGGGACCUUCGGGCCUCACGCCAUGAGAUGAACCCAGAUGGGAUUAGCUGGUAGGUGAGGUAACGGCUCACCUAGGCGACGAUCCCUAGCUGGUCUGAGAGGAUGACCAGCCACACUGGAACUGAGACACGGUCCAGACUCCUACGGGAGGCAGCAGUGGGGAAUAUUGCACAAUGGGGGAAACCCUGAUGCAGCCAUGCCGCGUGUGUGAAGAAGGCCUUCGGGUUGUAAAGCACUUUCAGCGGGGAGGAAGGCAAUAAACUUAAUAAGUUUGUUGAUUGACGUUACCCGCAGAAGAAGCACCGGCUAACUCCGUGCCAGCAGCCGCGGUAAUACGGAGGGUGCAAGCGUUAAUCGGAAUGACUGGGCGUAAAGCGCACGCAGGCGGUCUGUUAAGUUGGAUGUGAAAUCCCCGGGCUCAACCCGGGAACAGCAUUCAAAACUGACAGGCUAGAGUCUCGUAGAGGGGGGUAGAAUUCCAGGUGUAGCGGUGAAAUGCGUAGAGAUCUGGAGGAAUACCGGUGGCGAAGGCGGCCCCCUGGACGAAGACUGACGCUCAGGUGCGAAAGCGUGGGGAGCAAACAGGAUUAGAUACCCUGGUAGUCCACGCCGUAAACGAUGUCGACUUGGAGGCUGUGGUCUUGAACCGUGGCUUCCGGAGCUAACGCGUUAAGUCGACCGCCUGGGGAGUACGGCCGCAAGGUUAAAACUCAAAUGAAUUGACGGGGGCCCGCACAAGCGGUGGAGCAUGUGGUUUAAUUCGAUGCAACGCGAAGAACCUUACCUACUCUUGACAUCCAGAGAAGACUGUAGAGAUACGGUUGUGCCUUCGGGAGCUCUGAGACAGGUGCUGCAUGGCUGUCGUCAGCUCGUGUUGUGAAAUGUUGGGUUAAGUCCCGCAACGAGCGCAACCCUUAUCCUUUGUUGCCAGCGAUACGGUCGGGAACUCAAAGGAGACUGCCGGUGAUAAACCGGAGGAAGGUGGGGAUGACGUCAAGUCAUCAUGGCCCUUACGAGUAGGGCUACACACGUGCUACAAUGGCGCAUACAAAGAGAAGCGAGCCUGCGAGGGUGAGCGGACCUCAUAAAGUGCGUCGUAGUCCGGAUUGGAGUCUGCAACUCGACUCCAUGAAGUCGGAAUCGCUAGUAAUCGUAGAUCAGAAUGCUACGGUGAAUACGUUCCCGGGCCUUGUACACACCGCCCGUCACACCAUGGGAGUGGGUUGCAAAAGAAGUAGGUAGC